GCUCGAGUGGCGAACGGGUGAGUAACACGUGAGUAACCUGCCCUUGACUUUGGGAUAACUUCAGGAAACUGGGGCUAAUACCGGAUAGGAGCUCCUGCUGCGUGGUGGGGGUUGGAAAGUUUCGGCGGUUGGGGAUGGACUCGCGGCUUAUCAGCUUGUUGGUGGGGUAGUGGCUUACCAAGGCUUUGACGGGUAGCCGGCCUGAGAGGGUGACCGGCCACAUUGGGACUGAGAUACGGCCCAG
Molecule: ribosomal RNA, 244 nt
Filed under: uncultured Actinomycetales bacterium
Lineage: Bacteria; Bacillati; Actinomycetota; Actinomycetes; Actinomycetales
Description: partial 16S ribosomal RNA
Rfam family: Bacterial small subunit ribosomal RNA
Source: RNAcentral